RNAcentral lists this ribosomal RNA (480 nucleotides) under Sicophion fenestralis. Its description in RNAcentral is "eukaryotic LSU rRNA". Lineage: Eukaryota; Metazoa; Arthropoda; Insecta; Hymenoptera; Ichneumonidae. The record is from RNAcentral.
CCUGAGAAACCCAAAAGAUCGAAUGGGGAGAUUCAUCGCCAGCGAUCCAUGGCGCGUGUGCGGUUCGCGAUAGCGAAGACUCCGGUCUUCGGGUACUGCGUCCGUGCUCAUUUGUUUGCCGGGUUUNNNNGUCGUGCACUUCUCCCCUAGUAGGACGUCGCGACCCGUUGGGUGUCGGUCUAUGGCCCGGGUGGGCAGCCUGUCAUGCGUACGACGCUUCACGGCGUUCUGUUGCUUGACAGACCCCCGGUUGUCUGACCAGCUGCCCGGCGGUACUCGCACGGUAUCAAGCCGCAAAUUUGAACUGCGUCUGGCUCGCCGCAAGCAAGGCCAGUGUUUCCCGGUUGUACGGACCUCGUGCCGUCACCGGGCCUGGCCAGCUGUUGGUCGGCGGUGUCCUUUGACUGGCUUUUUUUCAAACGAUACCGGUCGGCGACGCUACUGCUUUGGGUACUUUCAGGACCCGUCUUGAAACACGGA